AUUGAACGCUGGCGGCAGGCUUAACACAUGCAAGUCGAGCGGGGUGAUGGUGCUUGCACUAUCACUUAGCGGCGGACGGGUGAGUAAUGCUUAGGAAUCUGCCUAUUAGUGGGGGACAACAUCUCGAAAGGGAUGCUAAUACCGCAUACGUCCUACGGGAGAAAGCAGGGGAUCACUUGUGACCUUGCGCUAAUAGAUGAGCCUAAGUCGGAUUAGCUAGUUGGUGGGGUAAAGGCCUACCAAGGCGACGAUCUGUAGCGGGUCUGAGAGGAUGAUCCGCCACGCUGGGACUGAGACACGGCCCAGACUCCUACGGGAGGCAGCAGUGGGGAAUAUUGGACAAUGGGGAACCCUGAUCCAGCCAUGCCGCGUGUGUGAAGAAGGCCUUAUGGUUGUAAAGCACUUUAAGCGAGGAGGAGGCUCUUUUGGUUAAUACCCAAGAUGAGUGGACGUUACUCGCAGAAUAAGCACCGGCUAACUCUGUGCCAGCCGCCGCCGUAA
RNAcentral lists this ribosomal RNA (501 nucleotides) under uncultured bacterium. RNAcentral describes it as "partial 16S ribosomal RNA". It matches the Rfam family "Bacterial small subunit ribosomal RNA", at positions 30 to 523 of the family's 1533-position model. The record is from RNAcentral.